GCAAGUCGACUGGAAUUUACCUUUCGGGGUAAUAGUACGGUGGCGGACGGGUGCGUAACGCGUAAAGAACUUGCCCUCUAGACUGGGACAACUGUUGGAAACGACAGCUAAUACCGGAUAUUAUGAGAAACUCGCAUGGGAAACUUAUAAAAGCUAUAUGCGCUAGAGGAGAGCUUUGCGUACCAUUAGGUAGUUGGUAGGGUAAUGGCCUACCAAGCCGACGAUGGUUAGCCGGCCUGAGAGGGUGAUC
Molecule: ribosomal RNA, 250 nt
Filed under: uncultured bacterium
Lineage: Bacteria
Description: partial 16S ribosomal RNA
Rfam family: Bacterial small subunit ribosomal RNA
Source: RNAcentral